RNAcentral lists this ribosomal RNA (416 nucleotides) under Leptographium abieticolens. RNAcentral's name for it is "eukaryotic LSU rRNA". It matches the Rfam family "Eukaryotic large subunit ribosomal RNA", at positions 1 to 419 of the family's 3401-position model. RNAcentral also lists the same sequence under 1 other name. Lineage: Eukaryota; Fungi; Ascomycota; Sordariomycetes; Ophiostomatales; Ophiostomataceae. The record is from RNAcentral.
UUGACCUCGGAUCAGGUAGGACUACCCGCUGAACUUAAGCAUAUCAAUAAGCGGAGGAAAAGAAACCAACAGGGAUUGCCCCAGUAACGGCGAGUGAAGCGGCAACAGCUCAGAUUUGGAAUCUGGCCUUCGGGCCCGAGUUGUAAUCUGGAGAGGAUGUUUCUGGCGCGGUGCCUUCCGAGUUCCCUGGAACGGGACGCCGGAGAGGGUGAGAGCCCCGUACGGUUGGACACCUAGCCUUUGUGAAACUCCUUCGACGAGUCGAGUAGUUUGGGAAUGCUGCUCAAAAUGGGAGGUAAAUUUCUUCUAAAGCUAAAUAUUGGCCAGAGACCGAUAGCGCACAAGUAGAGUGAUCGAAAGAUGAAAAGCACUUUGAAAAGAGGGUUAAAAAGUACGUGAAAUUGUUGAAAGGGAAG